CCACUAAAAUUUGAUCAGCAGGAUGCAGAAGGAACACUGAAUGCUGAGUGGCUGAUACUGAAUGGAGCCUAGCAUCAAACUGCCUUCAAAGUAUACACAAGACUUAUUGUAUAAUACAAAGCCUGGAUAAACAACUCUCUCCAAACUAGAGGAAAAUGCCUCUCAGCUUUGAUUCAUUUUCCUUGUCACAUUCAGCUGCACUAGGCUGGACUGGUGACCUCCCCCACAGCUGGAGCAGUAACUUCUUCAGCUGCCACAGCAUAAUCCACCAGGGAUCAUCAAUCAGAUGUUUUCACUGCUACAGUUCUUAGCCAGUGAGGUAAUUUAAACUGCCCUUGAUGUUAAGUUACAUCACUAUACCAGACUGAACUGUAAUAGCUAAUGAGAAGGCUACCUGCAUUCAUCAAUAACAAACAGUAACCAUUCUGCUCAUUCUGGCAAACCAUCUCCAAUAAAGGAAUGGGCUGGACAUUUUGGUGAAUAGCUUCUACAAACACUGAAUGUAAAAUCCAGGAUUGUGAAUGGAGUUCCUCAGUUGUCAAACAAGUCAAUAAAAUAAAGUUACUGUUAUGUCUAAGGUGGUCUUGUUUUUAUGAGGUGUAACAGAAUGUUAAGUAAGAAGUUUAUGAUAACCCUUCUAAAUUUUGUUAUCUCAAGCUGCACAAUGAAAGAGACAUUACAACUGACAGCUUCUCAAGACAUCAUUAUGUCAUGCGUGUGCAAGACACUGCUAAGCUGCAAAGAAGAUUAGUUCCCAAGAGUAGAAGCUUCUCUGAAUCUUAAGCAAAACUAGCUCCAGCUCUCAUGUGUUGCAGGUCAGCUGAUGGAUGGGCAGAGAAGAAAGGAACCUUGUGUAGGAGCUCAUUCCUCAUUGAUCAGAGCAAGCCAGCAUACCAAAUAUCUCCCUGGGGCUGCAGAAAGAAGGAUGAAAGCACAAGGAAAACUAAGACCAAUAAACAAACACUGAUCCUUUCAGAAAAAAACAAUUUUAAGGAAGUGCUGAAAUUUUCAGAGAAUUUCAUGCAGAUAUUAUAAAGAUAUGAGAAGAUUCAUGUUGGAUUGUGUUACAGAACAGCCUCCUUAGGGCUAAGAGCAUUUUCCCGAAUUUUUACCUCUCCAGCUAACACUGUUAGAAACCAGGCAAUCAGGAGCAAAUCUAUUUUAUUAGCCAGAUGUGCGACUUUCAUUCUUGGCAGCUGGCAGCUGAGAACUUGUAAAUGUGCAUUCACCUACUUCAUUUUUAAGCAACAUCACUGCCAACUAGCAAAUUCAUCCUGACAUUUGGUAAUUUCUUUUGUCUGCCUUCCUACUUCUCUACCUCAGCAAUAAUGGC
Molecule: long non-coding RNA, 1333 nt
Filed under: Coturnix japonica (Japanese quail)
Lineage: Eukaryota; Metazoa; Chordata; Aves; Galliformes; Phasianidae
Description: lncRNA (ENSCJPG00005008654.1)
Source: RNAcentral